CAGUAGCCACGGUAAUACGUAGGUGGCAAGCGUUGUCCGGAAUUAUUGGGCGUAAAGCGCGCGCAGGUGGUUUAAUAAGUCUGAUGUGAAAGCCCACGGCUCAACCGUGGAGGGUCAUUGGAAACUGUUAAACUUGAGUGCAGGAGAGAAAAGUGGAAUUCCUAGUGUAGCGGUGAAAUGCGUAGAGAUUAGGAGGAACACCAGUGGCGAAGGCGGUUUUUUGGCCUGUAACUGACACUGAGGCGCGAAAGCGUGGGGGGCAAACAGGAUUAGAUACCCCAGUAGUCCCUGUCUCUUAUAC
This 301-nucleotide ribosomal RNA is filed under the name uncultured bacterium. Its description in RNAcentral is "partial 16S ribosomal RNA". It matches the Rfam family "Bacterial small subunit ribosomal RNA", at positions 509 to 807 of the family's 1533-position model. The record is from RNAcentral.